UACGGAGGGAGCAAGCGUUACUCGGAAUUAUUGGGCGUAAAGGGCGCGUAGGCGAUCUGACAAGUCUGGUGUGAAAGCCCACAUGUUAACUGUGGAAGUGCAUUAGAAACUGUUGGAUUUGAGUUCAGGAGAGGAAAGCAGAAUUCCCGGUGUAGCGGUGAAAUGCGUAGAGAUCGGGAGGAAUACCAGUGGCGAAGGCGGCUUUCUGGACUGACACUGACGCUGAGGCGCGAAAGCCAGGGGAGCAAACGGG
This 253-nucleotide ribosomal RNA is filed under the name uncultured bacterium. RNAcentral's name for it is "partial 16S ribosomal RNA". It matches the Rfam family "Bacterial small subunit ribosomal RNA", at positions 524 to 776 of the family's 1533-position model. The record is from RNAcentral.